RNAcentral lists this unclassified non-coding RNA (7956 nucleotides) under Chelonus insularis. Its description in RNAcentral is "uncharacterized LOC118074661, transcript variant X7". The record is from RNAcentral. Lineage: Eukaryota; Metazoa; Arthropoda; Insecta; Hymenoptera; Braconidae.
CGCAGCUGGCUAGACAUAGUCACUACCUCAUCGUUCAUUCUUGUAUGUAUUCUUUCAUUAAACAAGUUUCCCAUUCAUAUCACGCGAAAGCAUGUUUUUUUACUCAUUCAAUUACUGUUUGUGUGCUCCAAUAAAUAUAUAUAUUAGUUACUGCUAAUUUUAUUUUUUAUCUUAAUAAUAUGUGAAAGUGAAAGUUACCAAUAAGUAAUUAUCUAUUGUUAGUGUUUGAUGUGAAGUGAUUUAAGUGCCUUCGAGUUAUUAUUUUUAUAAAUAAUUAAUUAUUAUUUCCUUACAUAACAUAAAAUGGUCAGCUUUAAAACAAACAAUUGUUCGAGUGAGCAUUCACCGGCACAUUGCCAUCAUCUGGGGACAUUGUGUAGUCCACUGAGGCAUUGCAGCAACAGCUACCCUUUGAGUCAAGGCCAUAGUCAUGAUCGAACACUGCCCUCACGUUGUACACCACCUAGGACUACUUACCCUCUAUCACAUGGCUGUGCUUUGCAUUCGAGGCUCGACCAGCCGGUGACCAGUUCAACAUCUGCCAUGGACGACAAAAAAGUUGUCCAGGCUGCACCAGCAGCAAACUCUGGCCAGCAAGCACGAGUUAAGAAUAGCUUGGAUGGUUCAGGAGUUGUUGCAUCGAUUUCAGGAGCAAGGAGACGAAGUGGACCCCAAGGUUUACGUUCACCAGCAGCUAAGAGGCCACUGUCAGCUCCGGUAGCACUGCAAGGAUGGCUACACAAACAAGGUUCAGAGGGGCUCAUGCUUUGGAAGAAACGAUGGUUCGUUUUGUCGGAGUAUUGUCUUUUCUAUUAUAAAGGUCCAGAAGAAGAAAAGCUACUGGGUUCCAUUUUACUACCUUCCUAUCGGAUAACUGUAUGUAAACCUGAGGAUAAGGUCAAUAAGAAGUUCGCUUUCAAAGCAGAACAUGCAAACAUGAGGACUUACCACUUUGCUGCUGACACUAGAGAGAGUAUGAAUCAGUGGGUAAAUGCUCUUACACUGGCGUCACUCUUACAGGAUCCCAAUCCAAUAAAAUUUUGCAGAAGCAGAGAAGAGCCUCCUGUAGCAUUGGAAAUCGCAGGACCAGCUGAUGAAGUUGGAAGUGCCAGGCCAAGUGUUUCUUCAAUAUCGUCUAUUCUUAAUCAAAGUGCAGAUGAUAGUGAUUCUGGAUUUCACGGACUACAAUCAAGAGACGAUCCAAGUCAAUCGAAUAAUAAUUCCAGUCCUAACAGCAUCAAUACUGCUUCAUUUCCCAAUCUCAGUGCUAGUAACAGCAAUCAUGGUAUUGCUAAUAGUAUAAACAAUAAUAAUAAUCAUCAUAGUCCAGAAAAAAUAGAAGACAAUCAGCCACGACCGAUGGUUAACGGUUGGAUGCAACCUCCUCCACAAUUUAAUCAACCAAGUACCUCAUCUCAACAAUAUGGACACAUGAUGCCAAAUUCUGCUCAAUUACAACUCCAACAGCAAGCACAAAUGCAUCCACAGCAUCAAGCGUUGAUGCAUCAACGAAUGGUUCGACAGCAGCAUCAAAAUGCUAUGCAACACCAACAUCAGCAUAUGGUUCAGCAGCAACAACAAAUGCAGCAGCAAAGUGCAAGCAAUGUUCAAACCGUCCAACCGAUGCCUAGAAAUUUUGGACAACACGUUUAUGCAAAUGCCCCACCAAAACCUAGAAGACUGACUGAUGGAUCAACAGAGUAUUCUACGCCUUCUCCAGAUCCAGACUUCCGUAAAUCUCCAGUUCAACCAAACGUCAGAAUGUCCACCAAGUCGCCUAUCCCUGAUUAUGAGAGAGUUAAUUCUCUCUAUGCAUCAAGAUUAGCAACGCAAUCAACGCCUCCUAUAAGAACAGAUAAAUCAGGGUUAAAUUAUGGUUACAGUCAAAGCCAGCCAUCUGAAAGGCGGACUCCUGAUGCAUAUGGAAGGAGUGCAAAGCCAAGAAAUUCACGAGGUAAUGGAGAUUAUGAAGAUAUUUAUUCAGGUCCUCAAUUGUAUCAAAGACCACCUGGACCAGUUGGUUACAGUAAGGGCUCAGCCCCUAUUCCUAUUUCUGUUCCUAUGUAUGUACAACAACAUCAAUCAAAUCAAAUUUUUACAUCUAUUGCAUCAAAUCCACCAGUUAUGAGACAGCAAAGAGUUCAACCACCUCCACGACCGCAUAGUGCAGACUUUCUUGAGUACGAGGCUACGAGAAAGCCAAGUCCACAACCUGUCAAUCAGAAUGGAGGUAUUCCAAGCCAACAAAGGCGACCACAAAGACCCAAGUCUAGUUUAGAUGUUGUUGGCCCUUCUGAAAUUACUUCUAAUGGCGACGGAUAUUAUUACUCGGAAGAGAGAUAUGCAGCUCAAAUGCGCCAAUCGGCGGUGUACCUCCAUCAGAACCCGCAACAUCAUCAACAGCAGAGAAAUCAAUCUCUUUCCCGAGCGACAACACCAUCAAAAUCAAGUUCUCGAGUUGAAGAUCAUAAUGAAUCGAUAACGCUUAAUGAAAUUUCAUGUUCAGCUGCACGGAGGUCACCGAGAGAAUCUCAAAUAUAUAGACAACAUCCCGUAGCAACUCAAUCUCUCCAGAGAUAUCCUGAAACAAAUGAUGCGAUGGUACGAAGGUCUUUGCGAGAGCGAAAUUAUGACCCUUCAUUCCACGAUUCUUUGAUCCACGGUGAAGGAGGAACAGUUCCACGGAGAAUACAACGUGACUAUGAAUCUUCUCCGUUGGUUAACGGUAGAUUAGUAGACCCUCUUGAGUCGCAUAUGUCGCAGAGCUACCAUUCUGGUCAUUCGGGAUCUCGACGUUGGAAUGACCAGCAAUUCUCUAGGUCAGCGUCGGCUCGAUUACCGAGAACACGACAUCCAAAUGCAUCAGAUGCAACAGAGAAUGAUUAUGAAAGAGGUUUAGGUCAACCCUCUCGAGAUGGAGAGCGAAGAAUUCAACAGAGGGAAGAAUCAAUGAAACGGCUGUUGGAGUGGAAGCAGCGUAUGCUGCAGUCACCUUUGACAAGAAAACCUUCGGGAUCUGCAAAUGGGAAUACAAGGGCUCAGAGUGAGCUGUCAAGUUACUACAAACGUCAAGUACUGUUGGAUCUUGCAGCUCAUGAAGCUUCAGUUGAGGCACGUCACUCACGAAGACGAGAAGACUCUCAUCGACCUCAUGUGAGAAGCAAAAGUUCUGACGGACGUCGAUCAGUUGCUAAUGUGUCGAGGUACAACAGCUACUCCAGUGACGACGAAGCCUCCGGUUCGGGUUCGAUAAUCGGUCGAGAUCCUCUUCCACCUCGAGCAGUAAGCACGUCUCAGUUAGCAGCUCAAAAUCCGCUCACUCAGCCACCAGUCACCGUUUCAACUCUUCCACACUCACGUGUCAAUGGACGUGAACGUCAGCAAAUCACUAGUGGACUUCCGGUCCAUCAGUCGACACCACAGUCCACCGCCUCAAGGCUUACAGUUUCUGGAAAUGAGAGCAAUUCAUCUAUUUGUCGAGCUGCUAGCAUUGGUGAUGUUCGAACACCAUCAACUCUAGUAAAUAACAGUACCAGUGAUAGUAAUCAACGUUUGAUCAGCCCAUCAAGAAACUUGCGGGUGAUUUCUCCAGUAGAUCAUCGGCUUUCUAGUCCCAGUGAUUGUGAGAAACAUAUACCAAGCCAGAAUGAGAGGAAAUUAAUGAGUCCAAUCAGUCCGAGAGAAAUGAAUGGUGAUAGUGCAAGUGUCCAACACAUGCAGAGAAUUGUGCAGGGUUGUGAGAGCACUAACGAUCUGCACAAGAGGACGAGUACGAUUUCCAAGCAGAAAACAGUAACGAAUGAACUGGGAUCACGAGUUGGAUCGUCUGGGAGCACCCAACGUCUGGUACAAGUGUCGGCUGGAGAAUUGUUGGGAAGGACCCAUGAAGAGCUGGUACUCCUACUCAUCCAGUUAAGACGACAAAGUGCAGCUAUCUGCAAGGCCAUGGAAACGUGCCAUAUGGAGAUUGAGGCACAGGCAAGACUAGCAGAAUUGGAUGCUCCACGUCGUCUAGAGAACCUUCAGAAGUUGGAAGAACUGAAAAAACAUUUAAUGAAUUUAGAAAAACAGUAUGAGAAAGGAAAGCCACUGGUAAAUCUAGUUGACAAUAUGGUAAAGUUGGGAUCACUUUAUAAUCGUAAUGGAGUCAACGGGAGUGUCUCUGGAUCUCGUCAUGAUUUGCUUCAAGAGAGUAUGAGAGAGCAGAGAGACCGUCUUGAAUUUAAUCAGAGAGUUCAAGAGCAAAGGCUACUAGCAGAAGAAAGACGAGAUUGGGAAAGACUUAGUCCUGAUCACGGACAGCUUCAGGCCAAAGUACAGCAACUCUAUAAACUUGACCGACUACUACAGGAAGAGUCUGGUACUCUUCAUAGCCUUCAACAAGAUAAGGAGAUACUGGAAAAGGCUUUAAGUGGUUUACGACAUAAACUUCAAGGCAGCAGAAGCAAUCCCAUGGAAACUGAGAGGUAUAGGAAACAACAAAUGUUGUUAGAAAGAGAGCUCAGCAGAAUUCGAAUGCUUCUUGCUCAUAACUCCAAGAAAUUGGAAGAGACAGUCGCUGAAAAUGCAAGACUUGAGCAGGAUUUGGUAGUUUUAAGACAGAAACUUCAAGCAUCACGAACUUACGCUGGAAACAUGACGCGAGAUCCAUCCGGAACAACUGCAGCUCUCGAAACUGAGUUAAGACGUGUUCAACAGUUAGUCGGCGAUCUUCAACGACAGCGGCAAGAGUUGAGCAUUCAAGUUCGACAAUUGACCGAGAAGUCUCAAAGUUUAGUUCAGCAAAUCAAACCGAAUGAUUCCUCAACCUUAACUGGUCCUCAACUUCAUAAUCCAAAGAAAAGAGCUCCAAGUUCUUGGCUUGAGACCGAUUUGGAUUCCGGAAUGACGUUUGAUCAUGGCUUAGACUCUCCAUCAAGCUCUAGUUCGUCCAUGUCACCACGUAAUCGUCAGGCCGGAAGUCCUCAUCAGCACAUUCCCUCACCGCAGGACAAAGAACCACCGACACAUCGUUUCUCUCCGACUCAAUCCAACCGACAGAUGCAAUCAAAUCAUCAACCAAUUUAUGUUCAAUCCUAUCCUCGCUUAGGAGACUCAAUGCUCUCACACAAUCACAUCUCCACAUUAUCACCUCAGCUCAGAGAGCAAAUCCAUCAACAUCAAUUGAAGCAGCAACUUCUCAAAGACCAAAUGCAAGGGAAAGCGAGUCCAGUUCAAGCAAACGUUGCACCGCUUUAUGUCACUACUGAUAUGAGAAGAAUUAACUGCAAUGAUGGAUAUAAACGAAUUGAUCCUUCGACAAAUGGCAUGCCUCUACCUCCACCUGAAUACAUUCCUCCUCCACCGCCUCCUCCAAGUGAAGAGGCUGUUCUAAUGAAUGGAGUGUACGGACAAAACGAGGAUAAUAAAUUUCCUGGAUUACACAAUCGUGAGAAACAGGAGAUUAAAACAGUAAGGAUUGUCAAGAGAGAGUCUGAAAGACGUCAUAGAGACCGUGGGGAUAGAAACGGAAAUAUUGGAAUCCCAUUGACAAAUGGACUCCAAGCACCAGGUGGAGCUAAGAGAUUAAACGAAGAAGAGUUUGGUUCCCAACAAUUUGAGAAGACACAACUUGGGAGAGUUAUUGAAGAAACUCCAAUGAUCCAUGCCCAAAGUACUGUUCAACUAUCCGAAUUAGAUGAUAUGCAAUUUCAAAGGAGUAUGUCAUUACCACGAGGCUUCGGAGGUCAAAAGCCGCAGCCAGAAAUUCACAAUGGACCUGUACCUCCACCUCCACGCAGCGACAGCAUGAAUGCCCUGAGAAGUAUAAUGGCACGUCGCCAUCGAGUGCGGUUUGAGAAUCAUGAAGGAAGUUCAGACAGCAUGCUAUCACUAUAUACGGAGAGUCCUACAUCAAGUUCGCACGUUCCUAUGAGUUCACCAAACUACUCAACAAGUCCAUCAUAUAGUCCAAGCAAUCAAAAUUACAUUUCACCAUAUUCAAGAUCAAUAAGUCAGCCAAACUCAUCUCAAUAUCAUGUUCACGGUAAUUACUCGCAACCACGAACAGGUUCUGUGUCAUCUGGAAGAACUGAGAGUUUAGCAAGUCCCAUGAGUCCUACUCAUACAACUUCCAUGUCCGUUCCAUCAUCUCAGGAUAAACUCUCAGGCUCUGCGGCGAGUAUAAAUAGCCUUGGAGAAUCUCCACAGUUAUCUCCCGUAUUCAAAAGUGAAGCGGCCAAGCAGAUCAUCAAAGAAAUGACUAAGAAGAAACCUGACAAUCCCAGACGACGACCUGUACCCAAAGAGAAGAGGAGACAUUACACAGUGUCGAGUAGCAAGCCAAUGCUUGAUUUGGAAGACACCUUUUCCAAGAUGGGAAUGGGAAGAGCACGAGAUGAUUUGGACAUGGAAAGAGCUCUCAGACCGAGAAUUAAUGCUCCGGAUGUUGUAAGAUCUACACUCAGCCACAAAGAGCUGAAGUAUAAUGAAAGUACCAUUGAUCAACUGCUGGGAACACCAAAUAAAAUAGUAAUUCCAGAACGGUACAUUCCUGAACAGACGCCUGAGUUGUCUCCUGAGGAGAAAAAACAACGUCUUAAAAAGGCUGAUGCGAUUAGGAAAAUGUUGUCAGAAACAACUGUUACUGCACCUGAAGGCGAUGAAGACAAUGUCAAUGUGGAAAAAUCGAAUUCAUUGAAGAAAAAAGUUGCUGAAGAAAAGAGGCAAAGGGACCACAUUCUUCAGCUCAAUCAAAUCCUGGCGAAGCAAGUGAUGGAAAAGAGUAAAAUGGUGGCUGGUAACCCGGCACACUGAUCGACAUGCUUCUUCCAUUCUCUUCCAUAAAUAGGACAUGUCCAUCACAUCACCUCAGUGAAAGCACUUGCAACGCUACCCCUGAAUUCAGAGAUGAGCUUCGAAGAUGACGAUUUAUCACCUGUGACUCCAUUACCCCUUUAUCAGCAACGAGAAAAUUUCUACUCUUAAAUAAUAGACCAUUUAUUCAAAAGACCAUUAAAUAAAUCGUACAAAAAAAAAGAAUAGAUAUAAUCAAUUACUGCCAUAUUGUACGAGAAAAAAAUGUUUCUUACAUCUUUUUCUAACGAAUCAUAGCUCAUAGAGUAAUUCGUUGGUACAGAUAAAAAGGCACAAAUCUAGGUAGUGAGUAUACUGUUAUUGCCUUCUAUAAAUUGAACUAUAAUUACAUGAUUUUGAAUUGCGUUUUAUUGAAGCGUAAUUUAAUGGUUUAUGAUUUAGAUAUAAUUUAUUAUGACUGAAGGACUGAAAAUUUCUAUUCCAGGAGUAAUUCCUGUUGUAAAUGCAAAUGUGCUAUAAAAUCAUUUAUAAUAUAUAUACAUAUAUAUAGGCAUAAAUUGAAUAAUGUAAUGUUAUUAAGAGCGCACAAUUAUUAACUCUCCUCUGUACAUUUAUUUUACAAUUUACAUUGAAUUGUAUGUAAACUUUGUGUAAAGUAGCCACUACUCCUGUAAUAUUAAUAAGAUCAGGUUAGAGGGCAAAAGCUCUGUGUUUUGAAUUAAUAUAAUUAUAUAGCAAUUUUGUAAAAAAGAAAUUUCUUAACUUAAAUUUAGGAAAGUAAAUUGAAUAAUUUUUUUUAUACAUUAUUAUGGAACAUAAUAAAAGCUAUCUUGUGAUUCUGUUAUGUAAGUUAGAUAGAUUCAAAGCUAUAAGCUUAUAUCUUCCGACCUGAUGAUAGUUUUUUUUAUACCUCAAGAUAUUUGCGAUCACACUUUUUAACUAUCAUAUUAUUAGCAAAUAUUCUUAUACUUCUACAUAUAUUAAAUAAUUUAAUAUUUAAUUAUUAAUAAAAUAAAAUAAUAAUUAAGUACUUGCAACUAAUUAUAAGAAUAAAACAGUGCCAAAUUCAUUGUGCAAUUCGAUCACUAUGGUCGUUGUCAAUAAUAUUUACUAUAUUGUAUGAAAAUAAAAUAUUAAAAGAGUGCAGGAGAUGGAUGUGAA